This 160-nucleotide non-coding RNA is filed under the name Hyphomicrobiaceae bacterium. RNAcentral describes it as "6S RNA". It matches the Rfam family "6S / SsrS RNA". From Rfam's summary of the family: E. coli 6S RNA was the first non coding RNA to be sequenced, but its function was unknown until recently. Lineage: Bacteria; Pseudomonadati; Pseudomonadota; Alphaproteobacteria; Hyphomicrobiales; Hyphomicrobiaceae. The record is from RNAcentral.
GCAGGGCUGCGGGGUGCGUCAGGAGCAUUACGACCCGGGGGCCUAUAAGAUCCGCUAGGGAGCUGUCCCUGACCGGGGUCGUGGCCCCGGACAUACGGCGCCCACCUACACUUGUAGGGCCAGCGGGAUCGACCGCUCCAACGGCCCAGGCGGCUCUGCA